This 292-nucleotide ribosomal RNA is filed under the name uncultured bacterium. RNAcentral describes it as "partial 16S ribosomal RNA". RNAcentral also lists the same sequence under 1 other name. The record is from RNAcentral.
GGACUACCGGGGUUUCUAAUCCCGUUCGCUCCCCUGGCUUUCGCGCCUCAGCGUCAGGAAAGGUCCAGCACGUCGCUUUCGCCACCGGCGUUCCUUCCGAUAUCUACGCAUUUCACCGCUCCACCGGAAGUUCCACAUGCCCCUACCUCCCUCCAGACGGCCAGUAUCGGAAGCUCUUUUCCAGUUGAGCUGAAAGAUUUCACCCCCGACUUGGUCGCCCGCCUACGCGCCCUUUAAGCCCAGUGAAUCCGAACAACGUUAGCACGGUUCGUCUUACCGCGGCGGCUGGCAC